RNAcentral lists this long non-coding RNA (429 nucleotides) under Coffea arabica (coffee). RNAcentral's name for it is "long non-coding RNA (CARA_LNC006959)". The record is from RNAcentral. Lineage: Eukaryota; Viridiplantae; Streptophyta; Magnoliopsida; Gentianales; Rubiaceae.
GAAACUGCAGCUGAUGAUCACUACAAGUAUUCAUCUCCUCCUCCUCCUUACCACUAUCCCUCACCACCACCUCCAGAGCAUUUACCUCCACCAGUGUACAAAUACAAGUCCCCACCACCACCUCAUCAUGUUUACAAGUACAAAUCUCCACCACCCCCACCACCACACCCAGUUUACAAGUAUAAGUCGCCACCACCACCUCCUCAUCCGGUACCACACCCAGUUUACAAGUAUAAGUCACCACCACCACCUCCUCAUCCGGUACCACACCCAGUUUACAAGUAUAAGUCACCACCACCACCUCCUCAUCCGGUAUACAAGUAUAAGUCUCCUCCGCCACACCACACCCAGUUUACAAGUAUAAGUCACCACCACCACCUCCUCAUCCGGUACCACACCCAGUUUACAAGUAUAAGUCACCACCACCAC